GACGAACGCUGGCGGCACGCCUAACACAUGCAAGUCGAGCGGGAUCUUGUGGAAUGAGUCUUCGGACAAGUGAAGCAAGUGAGAGCGGCGGACGGGUGAGUAACGCGUGAGUAACCUGCCCUAUACAGGGGGAUAGCCAUUGGAAACGGUGAUUAAUACCCCAUAAGACCACGCCAUCGCAUGAUGAAGUGGUAAAAACUGAGGGGGUAUAGGAUGGACUCGCGUCUGAUUAGCUAGUUGGUGAGGUAACGGCUCACCAAGGCGACGAUCAGUAACCGGCCUGAGAGGGUGAACGGUCAGACUGAGACGGAGACACGGUACAGACUCCUACGGGAGGCAGCAGUGGGGAAUAUUGCACAAUGGGGGAAACCCUGAUGCAGCGAUGCCGCGUGAACGAAGAAGGCUUUCGAGUCGUAAAGUUCUGUUCUUAGGGAAGAAAAUGACGGUACCUAAGGAGAAAGCACCGGCUAAAUACGUGCCAGCCGCCGCAGUAA
RNAcentral lists this ribosomal RNA (494 nucleotides) under uncultured bacterium. Its description in RNAcentral is "partial 16S ribosomal RNA". It matches the Rfam family "Bacterial small subunit ribosomal RNA", at positions 28 to 523 of the family's 1533-position model. The record is from RNAcentral.